UCCCCCGUGGUGUAACUGGCAACACGCGUAGGCUCAUAACCUGUGCGCUGCGGGUUCGAAUCCCGCCGGGGGACCCA
This 77-nucleotide transfer RNA is filed under the name Deltaproteobacteria bacterium. RNAcentral's name for it is "tRNA-Met". It matches the Rfam family "tRNA". From Rfam's summary of the family: Transfer RNA (tRNA) molecules are approximately 80 nucleotides in length. Their secondary structure includes four short double-helical elements and three loops (D, anti-codon, and T loops). Further hydrogen bonds mediate the characteristic L-shaped molecular structure. tRNAs have two regions of fundamental functional importance: the anti-codon, which is responsible for specific mRNA codon recognition, and the 3' end, to which the tRNAs corresponding amino acid is attached (by aminoacyl-tRNA synthetases). tRNAs cope with the degeneracy of the genetic code in two manners: having more than one tRNA (with a specific anti-codon) for a particular amino acid; and 'wobble' base-pairing, i.e. permitting non-standard base-pairing at the 3rd anti-codon position. The record is from RNAcentral. Lineage: Bacteria; Pseudomonadati; Myxococcota; Myxococcia.